GCUUGUCUCAAAGAUUAAGCCAUGCAUGUCUAAGUAUAAACGACUUUAUACUGUGAAACUGCGAAUGGCUCAUUAUAUCAGUUAUAGUUUCUUUGAUGGUCCUUGCUACUUGGAUAACCGUAGUAAUUCUAGAGCUAAUACAUGCAUCAAGCCCCGACUUCUGGAAGGGGUGUAUUUAUUAGAUGGAAACCAAUGCAGGGCAACCUGGAAUAUGGUGAUUCAUAAUAACUCGCGGAUCGGUUUACCGAUGCAUCAUUCAAGUUUCUGCCCUAUCAGCUUUGGAUGGUAGGGUAUUGGCCUACCAUGGCUUUAACGGGUAACGGAGAAUUAGGGUUCGAUUCCGGAGAGGGAGCCUGAGAAAUGGCUACCACAUCCAAGGAAGGCAGCAGG
RNAcentral lists this ribosomal RNA (390 nucleotides) under Ochromonas tuberculata. RNAcentral describes it as "partial small subunit ribosomal RNA". It matches the Rfam family "Eukaryotic small subunit ribosomal RNA", at positions 30 to 432 of the family's 1831-position model. The record is from RNAcentral. Lineage: Eukaryota; Chrysophyceae; Chromulinales; Chromulinaceae.